AACGAACGCUGGCGGCAUGCCUAACACAUGCAAGUCGAACGAGACCUUCGGGUCUAGUGGCGCACGGGUGCGUAACGCGUGGGAACCUGCCCUUAGGUUCGGAAUAACUCCUCGAAAGGGGUGCUAAUACCGGAUAAUGUCUUCGGACCAAAGAUUUAUCGCCUUUGGAUGGGCCCGCGUUGGAUUAGCUAGUUGGUAGGGUAAAAGCCUACCAAGGCGACGAUCCAUAGCUGGUCUGAGAGGAUGAUCAGCCACACUGGGACUGAGACACGGCCCAGACUCCUACGGGAGGCAGCAGUGGGGAAUAUUGGACAAUGGGCGAAAGCCUGAACCAGCAAUGCCGCGUGAGUGAUGAAGGCCUUAGGGUUGUAAAGCUCUUUUACCCGGGAUGAUAAUGACAGUACCGGGAGAAUAAGCUCCGGCUAACUCCGUG
RNAcentral lists this ribosomal RNA (433 nucleotides) under uncultured bacterium. Its description in RNAcentral is "partial 16S ribosomal RNA". It matches the Rfam family "Bacterial small subunit ribosomal RNA", at positions 29 to 507 of the family's 1533-position model. The record is from RNAcentral.